Molecule: ribosomal RNA, 450 nt
Filed under: uncultured bacterium
Lineage: Bacteria
Description: partial 16S ribosomal RNA
Rfam family: Bacterial small subunit ribosomal RNA
Source: RNAcentral
CCUACGGGUGGCUGCAGUGGGGAAUUUUCCACAAUGGGCGAAAGCCUGAUGGAGCAACGCCGCGUGUGUGAUGAAGGUCUUCGGAUCGUAAAGCACUUUCGACCGGGACGAAAAACCUCUGGCUAACAUCCAGGGGCCUGACGGUACCGGGAGAAGAAGCACCGGCUAACUCUGUGCCAGCAGCCGCGGUAAUACAGAGGGUGCAAGCGUGGUUCGGAAGUGUUGGGCGUAAAGUUCGUGUAGGCGAUGUGAAAGCCCAUGGCUUAACCAUGGAAGUGCGUCUGAAACUGCCGAGCUUGAGUGCCGGAGAGGAUGGCGGAAUUCCGCAAGUAGAGGUGAAAUUCGUAGAUAUGCGGAGGAACACCGGUGGCGAAGGCGGCCAUCUGGACGGUAACUGACGCUGAGACGCGAAAGCGUGGGGAGCAAACAGGAUUAGAUACCCUGGUAGUC